Molecule: long non-coding RNA, 569 nt
Filed under: Mus pahari (shrew mouse)
Lineage: Eukaryota; Metazoa; Chordata; Mammalia; Rodentia; Muridae
Description: RIKEN cDNA 2210420H20 gene (MGP_PahariEiJ_G0004732.1)
Source: RNAcentral
UUGCUCUUGCGGGAGACUGCAGCUCAGCGUGGAAAGCCACCCUGGGGAACACGCAAAACUGAUCAGGUCAGAUGGACGAUCCUCACCUGAGACCUUGAAAUCGAGCCUGCUGCUCAUCCCUGGCACGGAGCCGCUGAUUUGGGCAGUCAGGCACUUUCCAGACAGAACCCACAGAGGCUGUGCCUGCCUGUGUGAGCCACCGGAACUAGCAUGAAAAGACACUUCCGGUACCACUCCUGCAUUCCUAGGCCAAGUUUGCAUGUCAACAGGGACAAAACACAGAGUGGAUGGUUGCGAGCCACCAUGUGGCUGCUGGGAAUUGAACUCAGGACCUCUGGAAGCGCAGUCGGUGCUCUUAACCACAGAGCCAUCUCUCCAGCCCUAGCAAUGCUCUUUCAUUGCCCUCAUUUAUGUGUGUGGAGAGCACAUAGAAUGGCCAGCUUGUGGAGAUCAGAGGACUGCGUACAGAAGCCCAGUUCUCUCCUCCCACCAUGUGGAUCCCAGGGGUUGAAGCUGGGUUGUCAGGCUCGGUGCCUGCUCUGUGCAGAAAGGGUUCAGUGAGAACGGUC